GACGAACGCUGGCGGCGUGCUUAACACAUGCAAGUCGAACGGAAAGGCCCUGCUUUUGUGGGGUGCUCGAGUGGCGAACGGGUGAGUAACACGUGAGUAACCUGCCCUUGACUUUGGGAUAACUUCAGGAAACUGGGGCUAAUACCGGAUAGGAGCUCCUGCUGCAUGGUGGGGGUUGGAAAGUUUCGGCUGUUGGGGAUGGACUCGCGGCUUAUCAGCUUGUUGGUGGGGUAGUGGCUUACCAAGGCUUUGACGGGUAGCCGGCCUGAGAGGGUGACCGGCCACAUUGGGACUGAGGUACGGCCCAGACUCCUACGGGAGGCAGCAGUGGGGAAUAUUGCACAAUGGGCGGAAGCCUGAUGCAGCAACGCCGCGUGCGGGAUGACGGCCUUCGGGUUGUAAACCGCUUUCGCCUGUGACGAAGCGUGAGUGACGGUAAUGGGUAAAGAAGCACCGGCUAACUACGUG
This 468-nucleotide ribosomal RNA is filed under the name uncultured bacterium. Its description in RNAcentral is "partial 16S ribosomal RNA". It matches the Rfam family "Bacterial small subunit ribosomal RNA", at positions 28 to 507 of the family's 1533-position model. The record is from RNAcentral.